Molecule: ribosomal RNA, 465 nt
Filed under: uncultured bacterium
Lineage: Bacteria
Description: bacterial SSU rRNA
Rfam family: Bacterial small subunit ribosomal RNA
Source: RNAcentral
CUCCUACGGGAGGCAGCAGUGGGGAAUAUUGCACAAUGGGCGCAAGCCUGAUGCAGCCAUGCCGCGUGUAUGAAGAAGGCCUUCGGGUUGUAAAGUACUUUCAGCAGUGAGGAAGGUGGGUAUGUUAAUAGCAUAUUCAUUUGACGUUAGCUGCAGAAGAAGCACCGGCUAACUCCGUGCCAGCAGCCGCGGUAAUACGGAGGGUGCGAGCGUUAAUCGGAAUUACUGGGCGUAAAGCGCAUGCAGGUGGUUUGUUAAGUCAGAUGUGAAAGCCCGGGGCUCAACCUCGGAAUUGCAUUUGAAACUGGACAAACUAGAGUACUGUAGAGGGGGUAGAAUUUCAGGUGUAGCGGUGAAAUGCGUAGAGAUCUGAAGGAAUACCGGUGGCGAAGGCGGCCCCCUGGACAGAUACUGACACUCAGAUGCGAAAGCGUGGGGAGCAAACAGGAUUAGAUACCCUGGUAG